RNAcentral lists this long non-coding RNA (949 nucleotides) under Helianthus annuus (common sunflower). RNAcentral describes it as "hypothetical non coding rna". Lineage: Eukaryota; Viridiplantae; Streptophyta; Magnoliopsida; Asterales; Asteraceae. The record is from RNAcentral.
CGUGGAUUUCCUCCCACCGGCUGCUCCGUUGUGAAAGGGGGGAGUCGCCAGCAACAGGCGACAGCGCCAUUGCUGUUCUCCGACGACACACCUCUUUUGGCACGUUCACCCCUAUUUUCUACAAAUCGAGAAUCAACGACGACGACAGUUGUUUCCGGCCACUCCCGUUCGUAGUGUAUGCUGAAAACCCUAGCUGAUGAUUAGAGAUGACAUCCAAAUGAAGAACUAAGAACUGGAGUCUGGAACAAUAAGCAUGUAUCUUUACAUCCCCGACAUUAUUGGUGAGUCAAUAUAGGUGCAAUUUGGUUAAGGUCAAUACGGGGGUUGCCCAUAAAAAUAGGCAUUGUACGGGUAAGGGCUGGUCGUUUUAUAAGAUGGUCAAAAAAAAAAAAUGUAAGGAAGUAGGUGUAACGUAUGUUAAUUAUUGUUUACAUCUUGAAAACUAUUAUUGGUAGAAUUGUUAUAAUUUAGAAUUAGGAAUAUAUGAUUAAUCACUGUUUCAUUAUGAAGAAUUCUGGUACUGUGUAUUAGUUACAAUUUUUAGGUUUUGCACGUCGCUGAUUUCACGAUUAUCUUCUUAUCGAGUCGUUAAGGUAUGCGUCUCCGUAGUAUGCAAAGAUUCAUUAUAUAAAACAAACACAUGGUUUCUGUUAAAUCAGUAGCUGCAGCUGUAUACAUGGAUUAUAGAGUCAACUUACGGAUGGUGACUUCCUAUUAAUUUCUUAGUAGCUGAAAAUGAUUAACUGAUCAGCUAUCGACGCUCAGAUCAAAUGUUCCCAAAAUAAGCAAGGUGGAUGGAUAAAGAUCAAUACUGGGGCUACAAUACGGAUACCCUGAUCCAGAUUUGUUGUUCGAUGAAAUGAGGACCGUUAUCAACAAUGAGCACACUUGAAGCACUUGGUUUAGACAUUCAACAAUGGGUCAUCAGUUAUUUUAAUGGUUGUUUAUU